Molecule: ribosomal RNA, 207 nt
Filed under: uncultured bacterium
Lineage: Bacteria
Description: partial 16S ribosomal RNA
Rfam family: Bacterial small subunit ribosomal RNA
Source: RNAcentral
CUCAGUUCGGAUUGGAGUCUGCAACCCGACUCCAUGAAGCUGGAUUCGCUAGUAAUCGCGCAUCAGCCACGGCGCGGUGAAUACGUUCCCGGGCCCUUGUACACACCGCCCGUCAAGCCAUGGAAGCCGGGGGUGCCUGAAGUGCGCUGCCGCAAGGAGCGCCCUAGGGUAAAACCGGUGACUGGGGCUAAGUCGUAACAAGGUAGC